RNAcentral lists this ribosomal RNA (429 nucleotides) under Bacteroidota bacterium. RNAcentral describes it as "Bacteroidetes bacterium partial 16S ribosomal RNA". It matches the Rfam family "Bacterial small subunit ribosomal RNA", at positions 355 to 776 of the family's 1533-position model. Lineage: Bacteria; Pseudomonadati; Bacteroidota. The record is from RNAcentral.
UAGGGAAUCUUCGGCAAUGGGGGGAACCCUGACCGAGCAACGCCGCGUGGGUGAAGAAGGUUUUCGGAUCGUAAAGCUCUGUUGUUAAGGAAGAACGGGCGUGAGAAUGGAAAGUUCAUACUGCGACGGUACUUAACCACAAAGGGACGGCUAAUUACGUGCAAGCAGCCGCGGUAAUACGUAGGUCACGAGCGUUGUCCGGAUUGAUUGGGCGUAAAGCGUGCGCAGGCGGUUAGAUAAGUCUGAAGUUAAAGGAAGUGGCUUAAACAUUGUAGGCUUUGGAUACUGUUUAACUUGAGUGCUGAAGGGGAGAGUGGAAUUCCAGGUGUGGCGGUGAAAUGCGUAGUUAUAUGGAGGAACACCGGUGGCGAAAGCGGCUCUCUGGUCUGUAACUGACGCAGAGGCUCGAAAGCGUGGGGAGCGAGCAGG